AACUGCACUUCAGGGCUUGCAAGAAUGAAGCAUCCAGACACGGACCUGAAGCUGGCACAGAUACAUCUCUCAUUGGAGCUGUUGUUUUGUGCUGUGAUCAUCUCCCUCUGGGUGGUUUCCUUGACUUUGUCGUCUGCCUUGUGAAUAGCGCGGCGGAUUCUCCUCGUCAUGCUGUGAAAGCUGACGUUACUUGAGCUUCCCUUUCACAUCUUGAGUAACAUUGCUUAUGUCAUACCUGUUUGGUCUCCUCUUCAGACUAAUUCAUGUUGAGGAAAGCAGUAAUGCUAACUCUGGCAAGCAAGCUGAAGCGGGAUGAUGGCGUCAGAGGACCCCGUACAUCCAAUCCAGCUUCCGAUUCAACUCGGAGGGUGUCUGUUCGGGAUAAAUUGCUUGUUAAAGAGGUUGCAGAACUUGAAGCUAAUUUACCUUGUACAUGUAAAGUGAAUUUUCCUGACCCAAACAAGCUUCAUUACUUUCAGCUAACUGUAAUCCCAGAUGAGGGCUAUUACCAAGCUGGAAAGUUUCAGUUUGAAAUUGAAGUUCCUGAUGCCUACAAUAUGGUGCCUCCAAAGGUAAAAUGCUUGACAAGAAUCUGGCAUCCGAACAUUACGGAGACGGGAGAAAUCUGCUUAAGUUUAUUGAGAGAACAUUCAAUUGAUGGAACUGGCUGGGCUCCAACUAGAACAUUAAAGGAUGUUGUCUGGGGAUUAAACUCUUUAUUUACUGAUCUUUUGAAUUUUGACGAUCCUUUGAAUAUUGAGGCUGCAGAGCAUCAUUUGCGUGACAAGUUUUAGGUGGUUUUACAGAAGAAGCUGAGCAACAUAAUUGCCCUGCGUUAUUUGCCUUUUUGAGCUUGCCAUCUUCCCUCUGAAACUCAUCCGUCAGCGUGCAACGCAUGGAAAUGUUUCCUGCUGUGUCAUUCUUAAGGGCCCUACAGUUGCAACGCUGUUUCAGUCCAGCCCCAGUCAUGUCAUUCUGGUUCUUGUUCGUGAUUAAGACUAGAGCAUUAGCAAAAGUCUCUUUGGAGGUGAGACUGGACCACUAAACUGUGCCACCAAGAUGCUUGGUUGACAGCCAUGAGUAGGAUGUUCUCGUGUCUUGUGUGAGAAAAGAAGGGAUCCCGAAAACCAGCUAGUGUUCCAGGAGAGACCUGCUUUUCAUCAGCUGCAGGAGGACUUUCGGAAUAAAGUUGAAGAUUACAUGAAGCGCUACGCGAGAUGAUGAAGGGCGACGGGCGGCAGGACCGUGGCUUUCCCGCUAUAGAGCUGUCUUUCACUUCCAACGACAACAACGGCACCGAACAGCCCAGAUUGUACUAGUCCUGUGUCCAUGUUGUACUGAAGAAGAAAACUAACUUCAUAACUUGUCCAUGUUAAAAGGGGAGUUCAGCGUAAAUACAGCGAGACAUUGUGUAUGUUGGUUGAAAGAGUUGUUUGCUUACUUUUAAAACGUUUACUCCUCCGAUCUGUACUGUAUAUCCUGUUGAUGAGAUACGCUUGAGAAGUUAAGAGAAAUCACUAUUGAAAUUGUAUUUACACUUUCUUUUUUUUUUUUUUAAUUCUUCUUCAAGUUUGGGGAGGGGAAAAAGGAAAAAAAAAAAAAAAGGCGAUGUGUUUCUGGAACGCUUGGAGUUGGCAAUAAAACGGUCUCCUGUGUACCAAAUCCCCACAACUGCUGCCUUUGAUGAGCAGAAAGAGUAGGAGCUUUUUGCAAGAGCCGUUGAGCUAAGGCUCGGAGGGCUUGCCCGAAGGCGAGCACUAGGUGAAAUUCGAAUUCUGCUAUUGAAAUUCCCAUUACUGCGUCAUCUACGUACUUUUUUUUGCCACACGUUUGGAAUCGUUACACUUGUUAUUUUCGGCUCCUGUUUGGGCUACAGUAUUUUUCGUUCCUGUUUUGUUGUGUGAAGUAGUUAAAAGAAGUGGAGGCUAAUCCGUACCUUAA
Struthio camelus australis is the source of this 1941-nucleotide non-coding RNA. NCBI's taxonomy places the organism in Eukaryota, Metazoa, Chordata, Aves, Struthioniformes, Struthionidae. The record is from RefSeq and is a predicted model, not a curated record.